CUAGAAUAAAAGUAGAAGGGUCUUCAUAACUCAAAGAAUUUGGCGGCUAAUUUUUUUCAGAGGAACCUGUAUAUUAAUUGAUAAACCACGAUAGUUUCUACUUUUUAUUUAUUUAUAUACCUCUAUAUUUAUGGAAUCUUCUUGUAGGAAAAUUUUCUUUCGAAAUUAGUUAUAAAUUUUAGGUCAAGGUGUAGUUUUUGAAGAUGUUUAUAUGGGUUAUUUUAGUUAAAAUUAUAAUUUAAGAUUAUUUUAGUUAAAUUAAUUUUUUUUAGGAUUUGAUAGUAAAAUUAAUUAAUUAAUUUUUUUGAAUAUA
Molecule: ribosomal RNA, 313 nt
Filed under: Pyrgauchenia brunnea
Lineage: Eukaryota; Metazoa; Arthropoda; Insecta; Hemiptera; Membracidae
Description: partial 12S small subunit ribosomal RNA
Source: RNAcentral